GGGAUGUUGAGGUCAGCACAUGGACUGUUGGUGACAGCACCUUGACUUCUCUCCUCCAGCUGCCUCCUUUCCUCUCAACCCUCACUUCAUUCCCAAAAAAAAAACCCUAAGGCACUCUCUCGAAAAACCCUAGCCGCCGAGCAUUCUCCCUAAAACUUUCACGCCCACACCCUCAGCUGAGAAGAGGGAGCCACACUCUCCCUCUCCUCAGUCACCUUCACACCUUCUUGACCAUAUCCUGAUCAUCAUCAGCAUCACCUCAAGUUCUUUCUUUUCUCCUAGGCAUCCACCAGCAAUCAUCAUCAUCUCUCGUCGAUCAUCUUCAGCCCAUCAUCGACUCCACAAGAUCAGCUUCUUCAUGUUUCUCUCGGUGAAAACAGAACAGCGGACAGCUCAGAAGCCAACCCCCUUUCAAUCGGCUCUCACUCUCGGCCGGCCUCCUCUCCUGCACACCUCCAUCGGAUCACAAACCUCUCGAGUUUAUCAGCUCACGGCCGAGCUGGCCUCCUUUACUCCGAGCUAAGUCUCGUGCAUCGCCUCUCUUUCCCGUGCUCACUCCUUUUGUUUUCUUUCUCGGUUACUUAGAUUUUUGUUCUGCCUCUUUAUUUCUUUCUUGCAGUACAACGAGCAUUUUGCCCCGUAUUGCUCCUCGCCUUCCUCUCCAUCGCUGUUGCUCCUCGCUGCCCCGCUUAGUCCUGAGCUCGACUCUUCCCCCCAUAAAUCAACCAUGAGCGAAAGAGAGAGUUGGUUUCAGAGCUUUAUGAGGCUCCUCUCGAUAGAUGUGGUGAAAUGGGAGCCUGGAGGCGUUUGGAUCGCUUAGGAUGCUCUCUGUUUUGUCUCGUGGCAAUCACGAAAUGCGAUUCGUGAAUACAUGAUAAUAUCCGAGAAGAUUCAAUUGAUUUCAUGAACAAAGAAUGAAUGAAAUGGACCCUAUUUCGGAUAUGGUUGUUCAGCAUGUCAUCUCGAGCUUGCGUGGAGAAGAAAAGGGACGAGAAGACCGAUGCUAGAUCGGCUCGAAGACGACGUGGAGACCUACCUAGGCCUAGGUUGAGUCUCGACUUGAAAACCACCUCGGUCCGCGGCAGUCAUGGAUCUUUCGAGCCAACUCAUCCCAGAACCUCUUGGGAUUAGGUAAAAAUCUCUAUCUUAGUAUCAUGAGAUAGGUCUUUCGAUUGUUGAUGAGUGGAAUAAUUUCUAAACCCAAUUUUAUAAACUUUUCCAAUCAUUCCAUGGAACUUUUCAAUCUGUUUUAGUUCAGUUCCUAUGACAUUUUUUAUUUUUUUAGAUCUGCCCCAAAUUUUAAAAUUAUUUUCAGUUAAGUCCCGGCCAUUUUUAAUAUUUCACAAUCAGUCCUUGAAUUUUUCAGAAUUUUUCAAACAUCCCAAAGAACUUUUCGAGUUGUUUCAGUUUAGUCCCAGGACCAUUUUUCGCCCUUUUCAUAUCUGCCCCAAGUUUUAAAAUUCUUUUCAGUCAAGUCCCAGUCAUUUUAAUAUUUCCCAAUCAGUCCUUGAAUUUUUCAUAAUUCUUCAAACAUCUCAAGGAACUUUUCAAGUUGUUUCAGUUUAGUCAUGGGGCCAUUUUUUUGCUUUUCAGAUCAGCCCGAACUUUCAAAUUCGUUUCAAAAAAAGUCUUGGGACACUUUCAACAAUUUUUACACAGUCCCCAAUUUUUCCAUAAUUUUCAAAUCAGUCCCCAAUUUUUCUAGAAUUUUCAAAUCAGUCCUUGAAAUUUUAUUCGAAUUUUCAAAUCAAUCCCUGCUCUUCUAAAAUUGUCCAAAUCAGUCCUCGAACAUUUUCCAAAGAUAUCUAAUCCCUUUCCUACUUGGAUUCCCGACCGACAAUGCAUGUGCCUUGUUUAAAUAUUUUUGUUUAUGUAAUUAUAUGUAUGCAACAUGAUAAUACGUGCUCUUUGCAUGAUUUUUUUAUUUUUCCAUGAAUCGGUGUCGUUUUAUCAAUUGCAUUAAUAUUAUGUUUGUGUAUAUUUGUAUGUGUUCAUCACGAUCAUGGCGGCAUCGAUUGUAUAAAAUUUGUAUGUUUGUUGUGUUUGACGUGAUAAUAUGCUCUUGGUCCGUGUUUAAGUGCUUUAUUUUCUCGUUUUAAUCGAAACCUCACAUGAAUCGGUUUAA
This is a non-coding RNA of Punica granatum (pomegranate), 2125 nucleotides long. NCBI's taxonomy places the organism in Eukaryota, Viridiplantae, Streptophyta, Magnoliopsida, Myrtales, Lythraceae. The record is from RefSeq and is a predicted model, not a curated record.